UUGUAAUUGUACAAUUAUCUAUAUUUUAUUAAAGAAAAUUGGGAUGCAGUAAUAAAAGGGCUUCUUAAAUAUAUAUAUAUAUUUGUUGUACCGGGGAUCGAACUCAGGUCCUUGUGCUUGUGAGGCAGGUGGCAUAACCAAUGAGCUAAAUCCCUGGCCCUAAAAUAUAUGUUUUUGAGGCAUGGUCUUGCUAUGUAGUUCAGGCUGUCCUUGAACUCAUCAAGUAGCCUAGGCUACUUGAGGCAAUCCUCCCACCUCAGCCUUCUGAGUGCUGGGAUUAAACCAUGCCUGGCCAAAGGGGCUUAAUUAGAAUAUCAAUAUGAGAUCUGCUCUCACCCAAAAUGGUGAGGACUGUGAACAGUAUUUCAACAUAACAGUAACAGUCUUGUAACAUAAAGUGACUUGCUGUAGUGGGAAAAUUGCAUACUGCUUCUGUUGAUUUUUAUCAAUAUCUAUAACUGGCAGUAAAGCUAAGUUUCAGUUAUAUUAGUGAAAAUAAAAGUGAAACAUUUUCCUCCUUCAAGUUCAUGGUUACCUGACAUCUAUCAGGUGAAGAAUCCCUACUUUAGGGAGAUAUUACAGUCAGGAUAUCUGAAAGGUUUAGAAGAGGCAAGUCCUUACAAAGCUUACAAAAUUCACUAUAGUAUAGCAGACUUCUGUGCUAUUUCUUUCCUGGUUAUCCUUGUGGAGUAUUAGUUUAGAUCUAAAAUGGCUCCCAAAGCCUUAUGUGUUCGGUAGGUGACGAAUUAUGGGGAGCACUAUAGCUAACUUAAGAGACAGUCUUGUCAGAAGAGGCAGGUCACUGGGAACAUGACUAGAAGAGUACAUCUCCCUCCCUGGCUGCCAAGAGGUACGGUCUUCUUUUGCAACAGACAAAUCUCUAAAAACAGGUGAACCAAAGCUAAACAUCUCAAUUUGUUGGUGUCAGGCAUUGAAUCCCAGGAACAAUAAAGUGACUAAGGCAGAUUUUGGUAACAGGAGUGGGGUCAUUGCUGUGAUGCUACCUGGCCAUGUGGUUUGGAAGCCUUUGGACCUGGUUCUUUGGGGCAGGGGUGUUUAGAAAGGUCUGGUAAUGCUAGCUAGAAAAGCCCUAGAAUGCUCUAAGCCAAGCUUGAUGGGAGAUUCUUGUCAAGAGCUCAGAAGACCAGAAUGCUGAAAGGCAGAUGGCAUCAAGACCAGGCUUGGGAAGUUUCAGUUUGGAACAAGGGCUCCAUUGGCAAUUGGACUUCAGGCCACGUGUGUUACACUGGCAGAAUCUUUGUCUACGUUCUGUUCAUGUCCUGAGACUUAGUGGGAGACUGAGAUUAAAGGUACUGGAUUACUAGAUCAGGAAAAAUUUCAAGGCAGGCCAAUGCUGAGGCUGUGUCAUGGGUAUUGUUGGCAGCCUUUAGCCAGAUCUAUAUUGAGAAUCAAGAGCAAACUGAAUAGCUGAGUGAUUUUAAAUUUUGAAUGUCACCAAAAAGGAAGUCCCUUGUAAAGUUUUGGCCAAGGAAAGCUUGGUUGCUAAAAAGAUUUGCAUUAGAAAGCCAAAUAUUUUACAUUAGGACAAUAGGAAGGAUGCCUUGCAGGCACCUAAGAAAUCUGCAAAACCCCACUCCUCUGAGGCUAAAGUUUGUUGAAGAACCUCAGGGCACCAUGCUGGAGAAGGGGUACCUAGGGAAUUGGUUCCCUAGGAUUUGGUUCACAGUGCUCAGCCAUUGAGGCACUCAGGGGCGCUGCAGCCAUAAUAUAAGAGGCCCCAGCUACCACUUGAGCUGGUGGCAGACCUUGGCAUCAUCCACAUGGUGCUGCUUUUACAGGCAUACAGAAUACAAGUGUUGUGGGGUCUAGGAAGCUUCCAUCCAGAUUUUGAGUGUGCCUGAGAGGGCAGUGCAUGAAGCUGAAGAGUGAAGCUGGUGGUGCAGUGGAGACUCCAGGAAGUUACAGAUGCCAGGAAUGUGGAAUAUCAGCUAAGGAAUGCUACAGUGGAGCAAAGCUACCCUGAGAGAAGCCCUUGGGGUUCAAAUGGCAAAACUUCAGGGGUGGGGCCACCCAAGCAAUUUGGUUUCCAUCUCGCCACAACUUGGCGCAAGUAUUGGACAUGGAGCUACAGCAUUUAAUGCUGGGUUUCAGUCUUGCUUUGGUCCCACUCCUUUUUUUCUUCUCUAUUCAUCCUUUUUGGAAUGGGAAUGUUCAUUCCAUAGUAUUGUAUGUUGGAAGUAUUUAACUUUGAUUUUUACAGGUGCUCACAGCUAAGAGUUCACUUUGAGUCUUAGAGGAGACUUUGGACUUGAACUUUUCAGCAAUGCUGAAACUGUUAAAAACGUUGGCAACUCUUAAAACACCACCCAUGCCCUUCAUCCUUGGAGCUAGUCAAUUAUGGACUAAAAUGUGUGAGCCAAAAUAAACCUCUCCUCCUUUAAGUUGUAGGUGUUAGGUAUUGUGUCCCAAUGACGAGAAAGUGAUUAAGACAGGGGGUUGUUGCAGAUUCCCAUUUCCAGCUUGUCUGUUCAGGCCCCGUUGAUGAUGUGAGGACAAUUUCACCAACUCAAGUUCUCCUUUUCCUGACAGGCAGCAGCUUCUGAGUUGUGUCAGCUUGCCAGCUAACUGAAGGUCAAAGAAAAAGAAAGUUUUAAAUAAGAUUGUAUGUCCUCAGUGGGUAGGGGUGUAGCUCAGUAGUAGAGUGCUUGCCUAGCAAAUGCAAGGUUUAUAACCAGCACUGGUCCCCCAAAACCCAUUUUCUUUUACUAUAAUCAUUGUUCACUAAGCAGUGAACAUUUUUGACUUCCCCUUUUUAUUGUAAACAUACAGAAAAAUGCAUAAAGCAUAGGGGUUCAAUCGAUUAACUGUCAGCUGCUAUUUUGUAUAAGUGUAGGAUGUUCACUCUCAUUGCUGUGGUUCUUCACUAUGAACAGACCACGUUUUAAUGGGGGUGCUACAAAGAGUGCUGCUAUUCUACUUCUUUCUU
This is a long non-coding RNA of Heterocephalus glaber (naked mole-rat), 2947 nucleotides long. Lineage: Eukaryota; Metazoa; Chordata; Mammalia; Rodentia; Bathyergidae. The record is from Ensembl.